AUUGAACGCUGGCGGAAUGCUUUACACAUGCAAGUCGAGCGGCAGCGCGGGGCAACCUGGCGGCGAGCGGCGAACGGGUGAGUAAUACAUCGGAACGUGCCCAGACGUGGGGGAUAGCCCGGCGAAAGCCGGAUUAAUACCGCAUACGAUCUAAGGAUGAAAGCGGGGGAUCGCAAGACCUCGCGCGUUUGGAGCGGCCGAUGGCAGAUUAGGUAGUUGGUGGGGUAAAAGCUUACCAAGCCUACGAUCUGUAGCUGGUCUGAGAGGACGACCAGCCACACUGGGACUGAGACACGGCCCAGACUCCUACGGGAGGCAGCAGUGAGGAAUCUUCCACAAUGGGCGAAAGCCUGAUGGAGCAACGCCGCGUGCAGGAUGAAGGCCUUGGUUGUAACUGCUUUAUAAGUGAGGAAUAUGACGGUAACUUAUAGAAUAAGGAUCGGCUAACUACGUG
RNAcentral lists this ribosomal RNA (454 nucleotides) under uncultured bacterium. RNAcentral's name for it is "bacterial SSU rRNA". It matches the Rfam family "Bacterial small subunit ribosomal RNA", at positions 30 to 507 of the family's 1533-position model. The record is from RNAcentral.